AGUGAACGCUGGCGGUAGGCCUAACACAUGCGAGUCGAACGGCAGCACAGUAAGAGCUUGCUCUUACGGGUGGCGAGUGGCGGACGGGUGAGGAAUACAUCGGAAUCUACUUUUUCGUGGGGGAUAACGUAGGGAAACUUACGCUAAUACCGCAUACGACCUACGGGUGAAAGCAGGGGAUCUUCGGACCUUGCGCGAUUGAAUGAGCCGAUGUCGGAUUAGCUAGUUGGCGGGGUAAAGGCCCACCAAGGCGACGAUCCGUAGCUGGUCUGAGAGGAUGGUCAGCCACACUGGAACUGAGACACGGUCCAGACUCCUACGGGAUGCAGCAGUGGGGAAUAUUGGACAAUGGGCGCAAGCCUGAUCCAGCCAUACCGCGUGGGUGAAGAAGGCCUUCGGGUUGUAAAGCCCUUUUGUUGGGAAAGAAAAGCAGCAGGUUAAUACCCCGCUGUUCUGACGGUACCCAAAGAAUAAGCACCGGCUAACUUCGUG
Molecule: ribosomal RNA, 492 nt
Filed under: uncultured bacterium
Lineage: Bacteria
Description: partial 16S ribosomal RNA
Rfam family: Bacterial small subunit ribosomal RNA
Source: RNAcentral